GACACAAUAGAAAGUAACAAGCUUGCAGAGUUUGGAUCAUGGCUCAGAAUUACAAUGAGAAAAUCGUUUUUGAAGGGGUGUGUUGAGGAUCAAGAACAGACCCUUGGUUGAAGAAGCAGCAUUAAAGCUAGCUAGCAAUAAUUAAUUAUGAAACCAAGGUCUGGUCUUUUAUAUGUAAGAGUUAAUUAAAAAAAAUAUUUAUUGAUCAACUUUCUCAUUAUGUAGCUGUACUUCAAAAGAAGUUGCUCCCAGCCUUAAGGGAAGUCUUCUCCAACGGUAAUAAAAACUUCUUUUUAUUCAAGUGUGCAGCUCAUUGAUAUAUAGCUUUAUGCCUUGUAACUGACCUAGAGAAUGAACCUAGACUGUGUAGUGUUAUAAAUAGGAUACUUGGGUUCAGUUGUAAUAUGUGCUAAAAAAUGAGUAUUGUACAAGUGAGCACUCCAAAUACAUGAACAUUUAUAAGAGUGUAGGUCAUGGGUUUUGAGUCAAGGGCAUCUUGAAUUCAAGGAAACCUUUCCGAGUCACCAUGGCAGCAUUUUUCUGAGAAAAAUUUACUUGUUUCUAUUGUUCUGAGAGCCUCUUGUGUUGUGUUUAAAUGUAAACUGGUUUGCUUGUUCUUGGAGGCUUGUAUUUCUAAACUGUUGGUUCCUUAAAUAAAUGUGCUUGUGUAGGUGUGCCUGUGCAUGACCUAAAAACCAGAUAAAAAAUGCCAUGGAAAAUACCUGGAAGGAAUAUUGCAAAAUGUUGCAUCGGGAUUGACAAAAUUGAGGUGUGAUUGGUCAAUUUAUUCUGAUACUAAUGGAUUGUAAUUCAAUUUGUUGUGGCUUUAAAUGACUGCAUAUCAAAUUACUUUGGACAAACUGUGGCUUCUGCUUAAUUCGUUGCAAAGAAUUGCCAUCAAACAAGGAUUGGAUUAUGUAUUUUUUUAUAAUUUUAAGUUUUGUGAAAAGAACUCUUCUUACAUGUAUAGUAACCUGAAAAGGCUCAACUUGCUAGAAAAUUGGUUUUAUGACCUUGGUUUCCUUGAGAAACAGAUUGGAAAUGGAACAAGAAUUCCUUUUGUCCAUUACAAACAAGUUCAAUAUGUUUGGACUGAUAAGCUUUGACCCUGCAGGUACUAAGAGAUCCUUGCCAAUGUGAAUUUCCACAAUACUGUGAUUCAGAAAGAUAGGAGUAGCUGUUGGGUGCCAUUUGAGGUAAUCGACUGAGCUUUUUGACAUAGAGUGUGUUAUAACAAGACCAAGUCUGAAGAGAAGUCCCCGAAGAAAUCCGGAAGCAUCUAAUAUGAAACUUGGAGUUGUUGUUUUAAUUAUUUUUCUUGCCUUCAAAUUGGAGGCAAUAGGAAACAAUGAAGGAAGCAGAAAGUUG
Molecule: long non-coding RNA, 1368 nt
Filed under: Populus tremula
Lineage: Eukaryota; Viridiplantae; Streptophyta; Magnoliopsida; Malpighiales; Salicaceae
Description: long non-coding RNA (PTRE_LNC001985)
Source: RNAcentral